CUCUGAUCAACUGUAUGACGAUGACUUUGUAGCAGUGAAGGAUGCUGUUGAUGAGCUUGUUGGUUGCACAGUAGAUUGUCCUUACAAUGUCACAACUACACCCAUCGUGGAUAAAACUAAGGUGGAUGUGGGAUCUGUAUGUAAAAGGUCGGCGGAAGAUGAUGAUGUUGCUGACCACUACGAAAUUGUGCAUGUUGAUGGAGUUCUCACAUGUGUGACUGUAUGCGACAGUCUACAUUCACGUCCUAAAAGAUGCUUCAAUAAGGGAAUCUGCAGAGUGUACAGGUUCACUGGACCUC
Seriola aureovittata is the source of this 299-nucleotide long non-coding RNA. RefSeq lists it as uncharacterized. The record is from RefSeq and is a predicted model, not a curated record. The transcript has 3 exons. NCBI's taxonomy places the organism in Eukaryota, Metazoa, Chordata, Actinopteri, Carangiformes, Carangidae.